RNAcentral lists this ribosomal RNA (467 nucleotides) under uncultured bacterium. Its description in RNAcentral is "partial 16S ribosomal RNA". It matches the Rfam family "Bacterial small subunit ribosomal RNA", at positions 28 to 507 of the family's 1533-position model. The record is from RNAcentral.
GAUGAACGCUGGCGGCGUGCUUAACACAUGCAAGUCGAACGGAAAGGCCCAAGCUUGCUUGGGUACUCGAGUGGCGAACGGGUGAGUAACACGUGGGUGAUCUGCCCUGCACUUCGGGAUAAGCCUGGGAAACUGGGUCUAAUACCGGAUAGGACCACUUCUUGGAUGUUGGGGUGGGAAGUUUUUUGGGUGUGGGAUAAGCUCGCGGCCUAUCAGCUUGUUUGUGGGGUAAUGGCCUACCCAAGCGUCGUCGGGUAUCCGGGCUGUGAGGGUGUACGGGCAAAUUUGGGCCGAGAUACGGCCCAGACUCCUACGGGAGGCAGCAGUGGGGAAUAUUGCAAAAUGGGCGCGAGCCUGAUGCCGCGAAGCCGCGUGGGGGAUGACGGCCUUCGGGUUGGAAACCCCUUUCGCCAGGGACGAAGCGUUUUGUGACGGUACCUGGAGAAGAAGCACCGGCUAACUACGUG